UACGUAGGGUGCAAGCGUUGUCCGGAAUUAUUGGGCGUAAAGAGCUCGUAGGCGGUGUGUCACGUCGGCCGUGAAAACCUGGGGCUUAACUCUGGGCGUGCGGUCGAUACGGGCAUCACUAGAGUUCGGCAGGGGAGACUGGAAUUCCUGGUGUAGCAGUGAAAUGCGUAGAAUAUCAGGAGGAAUACCGAUGGCGAAGGCAGGUCUCGUGGGCUGACACUGACGCUCAUGCACGAAGCGUGG
RNAcentral lists this ribosomal RNA (243 nucleotides) under uncultured bacterium. Its description in RNAcentral is "partial 16S ribosomal RNA". It matches the Rfam family "Bacterial small subunit ribosomal RNA", at positions 524 to 764 of the family's 1533-position model. The record is from RNAcentral.